CUUGGUUUCCUCUGUGGUAAUGGGGAUAAUAUGCCCUCUCUUGUAGAUGUGUGGAAGGCCAUGGCUGACUUGGAUGCUGUUGGGGUCAUCUCACGGCACAUGGCAUACACAAUUUAUCUUGCUUCCUGUCUUGAUAAUGACAUCUUGGUUUUCAUGCUGUCUUAGAACAAGUAGAACGUGACUUACAUAAAGCAACACAUGUUUAUUGAAGAAUAGUUGGAAACCCCAGAAAAACCGAAAGACGAAAAUAAGCACUCAGCUGAAGACAGCCAUUCAAAAGUUCUGGCACCCUUUCCUCCCAACUUUCACUGAAGUUGAACAGAUAAAUGUGCACAUAUGAAGUGAUUUCUGGGAAAGACCAAAAAAAAAAAAAAAAAAA
Lontra canadensis (Northern American river otter) is the source of this 379-nucleotide long non-coding RNA. RefSeq lists it as uncharacterized. The record is from RefSeq and is a predicted model, not a curated record. Lineage: Eukaryota; Metazoa; Chordata; Mammalia; Carnivora; Mustelidae. The transcript is spliced from 2 exons.